UCCCGGGGGGCAACUCCCGGGGGAAGUGGCGAAAGGGGCAGUAAGGCGUGGGUAACCUACCCCGGGGACGGGCAUAGCCCUCCUAACGGAGGGGUAAUUCCCGGCGAAGUGACUGAGUCGCAUGGCCCGGUCAUGAAAGGAGUUUCGCCUCGGGAGGGGCUCACGUGGUAUUAGCUUGUUGGCGGGGUAACGGCCCACCAAGGCUUAGAUGCCUAGCGGGUGUGAGAGCACGACCCGCGCCACUGGCACUGAGACACUGGCCAGACUCCUACGGGAGGCUGCAGUCGAGGAUCUUCGGCAAUGGGCGCAAGCCUGACCGAGCGACGCCGCGUGUGCGAUGAAGGCCUUCGGGUUGUAAAGCACUGUCGAGGGGGAGGAAGCCGCAAGGUUGACCUAUCCCUGGAGGAAGCACGGGCUAAGUUCGUGCCAGCAGCCGCGGUAAGACGAACCGUGCGAACGUUGUUCGGAUUCACUGGGCUUAAAGGGCGCGUAGGCGGUCGACCAAGUCUGGGGUGAAAUCUUUCGGCUCAACCGGAAAAGUGCCCCCGAUACUGGCCGGCUAGAGGGAGAUAGGGGCAUGCGGAACUUCCGGUGGAGCGGUGAAAUGCGUAGAUAUCGGAAGGAACGCCGGUGGCGAAAGCGGCGUGCUGGAUCUCUUCUGACGCUGAUGCGCGAAAGCCAGGGGAGCAAACGGGAUUAGAUACCCCGGUAGUCCUGGCCCUAAACGAUGGGUACUGGGUAGUGGACUUGACAUGGGUUCACUGCCGCAGCCAAAGUGGUAAGUACCCCGCCUGGGGAGUAUGGUCGCAAGGCUGAAACUC
This 821-nucleotide ribosomal RNA is filed under the name uncultured Planctomycetota bacterium. RNAcentral describes it as "bacterial SSU rRNA". It matches the Rfam family "Bacterial small subunit ribosomal RNA", at positions 70 to 902 of the family's 1533-position model. Lineage: Bacteria; Pseudomonadati; Planctomycetota. The record is from RNAcentral.